ACGUGGGGGGCAAGCGUUGUCCGGAAUUACUGGGCGUCAAGCGCGUGUAGGCGGGAGAUCAGGCGGCGUGUGAAAGACGAGGGCUCAACCCUUGGAGGUCGCGCCGAACCGGUAUUCUUGAGACUGCGAGGGGCGGGUGGAAUGGUUGGAGGAGCGGUGAAAUGCGUAGAGCCCAAUCAGAACACCAGUGGCGAAGGCGGCCCGCUGGAGCAGGACUGACGCUGAGACGCGAAAGCGCGGGGAGCAAACGGGAUUAGAUACCCCGGUAGUCCGCGCGGUAAACGAUGGACACUGGGCGUGGCGGGUAUCGACCCCUGCCGUGCCGGAGCGAACGUGGGAAGUGUCCCGCCUGGGGAGUACGGCCGCAAGGCUG
Molecule: ribosomal RNA, 373 nt
Filed under: uncultured bacterium
Lineage: Bacteria
Description: bacterial SSU rRNA
Rfam family: Bacterial small subunit ribosomal RNA
Source: RNAcentral